This 32534-nucleotide long non-coding RNA is filed under the name Setaria italica (foxtail millet). Its description in RNAcentral is "long non-coding RNA (SITA_LNC004215)". The record is from RNAcentral. Lineage: Eukaryota; Viridiplantae; Streptophyta; Magnoliopsida; Poales; Poaceae.
AAUAAGCAUUAGGAGCACGUAGGCAUAUACAUUAGACGAUGAGUUCCUCCUCCUUGUGGGUCUCGAUGACGACGUCGGAGGUGGGGUAGGCGGCGCAGGUGAGCACCCACCCGGCGGCGACCUGGUCGUCGUCGAGGAAGCUCUGGUCGGACUGGUCGAUGCUGCCGGAGACGAGCUUGCCGGCGCAGGAGGAGCAGGAGCCGGCGCGGCACGAGUAGGGCAGCUCGAUCCCUUCCUCCUCGGCGUGGUCGAGGAUGUAGACGUCGUCGGGCACCUGGAGCUCCACCUCGCCGUCGGGAGUGAUGAGCUUGACGUUGUAGGUCGCCUGCGCGCGCAGCCUGGCUCCGCGGGGAGCCUUGGCCGGCAGCGGGACGGUGGACGGCGCCGGCGCCGGGGCCGCGCGGAGGGCGAAGCAGGCAGGCGCGCGGAGGCUGCUGAGCACGGUGGCCAUUGCGGACUUGCGGCGUGUGUAGUGAAGGGAGAGCUUGGAGCUGGAGGAGUUGGAGCUAUUAGCAGAGGCGAGCAGCAGCUAAUGAUGAUAGCUUAUAGGUAGCUAAAAGCGAGAUGAGGUGAAAUGAAGGGUCGGGGUGGGUGUAGCGUGAAGGGGAGGGCGGGAGGCUUAUCUUCUUGGUCGGGACCAGGACGACAUCCGUGGGGGAAAUCAACUACUCGAAAGUCGAAAUACAGCAGGGCCACACGCUAGACUCCAAACGUCAUCGAGAAUUCUCCGACCAUGAAUUUCACCAUGAAAUUCGCUAGUAAAAAUAUAACUUCUCCUCACCGAUCACAUUUGAAUCCGGUACUAAUGUUAAAAUUUGCCGGAGGUCCUUUUGUACCGAGUGGGGUUUCCAAUUGGUACUAAAGUCCCCUUUUAAUGGUUGGAAACCCCACCCAAUACUAAAGCCCCGUCUGCCGCCGGCCCUCCCCCACUCACACGCGCCUGCAUUAUCUCCUCAUCCAGUACACUUCUCCUUCUCUUCUCUCAUACUCCCUCUCCUCUUCCUAUCCUCUACUCUCCUCCCUCACACUCCCUCUCCCAGAUCUGCCUCUCCUCCGCUCGCCCCUCACCGACGAUGAGGAGUGGCGGCGUCGGGCCGGGGCGGCUGCGACGACGCAGGAGGGGCGCGGCAGCGGGAGCAGUGGGGUGGAGCAGGGAGCGGAGAGGAGGCGGUGAUGGGAGAGUGCAGCAGAGGAGGGGGAGGAGGAGGAGGAGGCGGAGGGGGCUGGCGGCGGGCGGAGGGAGGCCGGGACCGGCGGGGGAGGGGGGGGUUCUUCUUUUUUAAUUUUUUUAACACCCUCUAGUACAAGUUAUCUCAAUCGGUACUAGAGGAUCCCCCUCGAGUACAGGAUUGCUACCAGUUGCAGAAUCGGUACUAGAGGGGGGUUGGGAACCGACAAUAGAGGUUAUUUUUUAUAGUGAUUACUCAAAAUAGUGACAGAGAAAGUAGUAUUCAUUGUAUUCUCACGUACUCCCUCCGUUUAUUUUUAUAAGGCGUGAUAUGGCAUGGCACGUACUCCCAAAUUACACUUUGAUCAUUAAUUUAUCUUAUAUUAUAUUGUUUAUGACUAUAAACUUAUAAUCAUUGGAGAAUACAUUUGAUUGCAAAUCCAACCAUUUCAAAUUUAUACCAUAAAAAUAAAAAAAUAUUGGUUAAAUUAUUAGUCAAAGAUAGCAAACUUUUACAUUUGAUAUGCGCAUACGCCUUAUAUACAAACAUGAACGGAAGGAGUAGAAAAUAGACUGUGUGCGCCAGUCACUGCCCAUUGGUUGGUUGAGCGUGGCGUGUGGAGGCCACGGCCUCGAUCCAGGGCAUAUGCUUCUUUCGGUCCUUAGCAGUUGGCGGUAUCACGUGGUUCUCGUCAAUUUUUGUGUAUCUGGCCAGAGAUCUAAAUUACAUGUAAUUUUACAUGUAUGAAAAAUUAGUCAGUUCGCUGGUUAGCUUUCCAUGCCAACCAUGGAUCUCUUUUCUCUUUUCUUUUCUUUCUCUUCUUUUCUUCUCUCCCUGGUGAUGAGUGAUGGGUGGGUGGGUGGUCAGCAAAAACUAGCGAGCCUGCUGCAAAAACUAUGGCAUGGAAAGCUAACCAUCGAUAUAGUAUCAGUAUAAAAACUAGUGCCUGCUCCGUUAGAUUAGGUGGAAAACUCUAGUCAGUUCGCUACUGAACUACGGAUUGAUAAACUUUAGAUGGAAUACUCUAAGGAAAAAGUUACGAUAAUCCGUGCGCUUGCGAUUCACAAAUUGAUGCGCUAACUGCCGCCAACAAGCUUUUCCGGUGCUGUUGCCAGGGAUCAGCAACUCGAACCCUAGGGUGAGACUAACUCUAAUUUUUCUAUUGCAUAUCCUGUUUUUCUUGUUUGCGUCCUUAAAAGCAAGUAAAUACUAGACGUCAUAUAAUCGAACAUGGACUUUCAAGUCUCAAUUCACUCCGAUAAGAUGAUAACAACAUCGAGCUCAACUCUUUAGCAGUAGGUGAUAACUUGUUAGUGGCCCAACAUCUGUUAUUGAGUCCACACCAAUGAACACAAUACAAAUGCUUAUAAGCAAGUGGCACAUAAUCUGAGAUGGGCUUAGCAAGUGGUAAAACCAUGGUGUUGGGAUAUGAGGAUGUCCAGUUAACAGAGGUGAAAAACUAAUCAAGUUGCUCAAGUAAAGGAUCUUGCUGCAUGUUGCUCCUGGUAAAAGUCCUUCACUUAAUUGGUAAUUCAAUGAGGCCCAGCUGCCCAAUGACGUCAUUAAAUAGCAAGGUAUCCAGAAAAUUACCACCCAAUUUGUUCAUGUCAUCCAGAGAUAUGUAGAAAUUGAAAUCCCCUAGGAAGAUCCAAUUAUCCUCGGCCUGGUAAGACAAGGGGUGGAGGAAGGUUGUGAGCGUGAUACUAAAGGGUGCUUGUGUUGGUGUGUGUGGGGGGGGGGGAGGAUGGGGAUAGUGUCGCAUCUCAAAUGAGCUAGUCCUCUCAUUUGACAACCUCAGCCAUCAUAUUUGGAUCCAGUGAUUGCUUUCUUUUCUAUCUCCUCUCAAUCUGCAUUUUGUCUUCCUUGUAACUUCUCAGUUCUCAUGACAUUCUCCCAUAACCAGCACUUCUCAGUUCUCACAACAUUUCCCCAUGACUAGCACCUCCCGUUGGGCAUCUCCUCCCAACCAGCCUAACGGUAUCCCUCAUUGUCCCACCUUCCAGCGUGUUGUCUGCAGUCGCUACUAGCUUAGGCUAGGUUGCAGCCCUAACUGAGCUUUCUUUAAAGACCAGGGGACUACCUCCAAAACACUAUAUUCCAAAGGAAAUUCACCGUGUUGUAUGUCAAUUGAAUCUUGCUUCACUUCCAGGAGAUUGAGAUACGAGAAGUAUUGUCAAAUUAAUCCAUUUUGAAUAGGGUUCGACGAAUAGUGACAUGAAGGGGGACUAUGCACAUGGUAGGGGCAAAGGAACUCACAAGCUUUGAUAUGAGGUAGGGUUCGACGAAUAGUGACAUGGAGGGGGACUAUGCACCUGGUAGGGGUAAAGGAACUCUCAAGCUUUGAGAUGAGGUAGGCUAAGGCAAGAGGCGGAGAGAGGGUGCGAGGGGUGCUUGCGAUUGUGUGGUGUGUGGGAGGAUGGGGGUUGGCACAUGUUGAGGAAGUUUUGUAUACAUGUUAUAAUUUGUUGGUUUGGGCCUUAGGUUUCUAUCCAAGAGCAACAAAAAAUUUUGAACAAACAUUUCAAAAAUAAAUUAAAUUUGAAUAACUCUGUCACACACAUAUAUCCCCGUUGAUCUUGGUGGUCACGAUAAACUAGCUAGCCAAGUCCACACAUGCUUUCUUUUGAAUCAUUUUAUAGCAUGGCAUAACAAAUAGCAUCAGAUUCAGACGACUACUCAAGCUGCAUUUCCGUAGCACGUUUAGUCAGGUACAUACGUACACACACACACACAGAUAUAUAGUAUAUAUAUGUAUUGGUUGUACAAAAAUAAAGAGGAAAAACGUUAUUAAUUACUUGAGCGAAGCCUAUCAUGCAUCCGCAGUAAAAAUGAAUGAUACAGAGACCAGCAAUAAGCAGAGUAACAAACGAUGGAGAAGCUGCUGAUGCCGAUGCUUAAUUGCAAGGUCUCAUGGUGACACUGACAUGCAUGAUACAAGAAAGGGAAUUGUCCGGCGUCGUCAAACUCGAUCUCUUGCAAGAGCAAGACAGAUACUAGAUAUAGCAAGCGCGUAGCAGGUAGUGAUCGAGCUUCUUAGAUGAGCUCCUCCUCCUUGUGCGUCUCGAUGACGACGUCGGAGGUGGGGUAGGCGUGGCAGGUGAGCACCCACCCGGCGGCGACCUGGCCGUCGUCGAGGAAGCUCUGGUCGGACUGGUCGACGGAGCCGGAGACGACCUUGCCGGCGCAGGAGGAGCAGGAGCCGGCGCGGCACGAGUAGGGCAGGUCGAUCCCAUCCUCCUCGGCCUGGUCGAGGAUGUAGACGUCGUCGGGCACCUGGAGCUCCACCUCGCCGUCGGGGGUGAUGAGCUUGACGUUGUAGGUGGCCUGCGCGCGCAGCCUGGCGCCGCGGGCGACCUUGGCCGGCAGCGCGACGGUGGCCGGCGCCGGCGCCGGGGCGGCGCGGACGGAGAAGGCCGGCGCGCGGAGGCUGCUGAGGGCGGUGGCCAUUAUUGUGCUUUGUGGUUGCUAGGUAGCUGCAGCAGCUGAAGCAAUGGAAGAAUCGGCCACACACACCUAGGGAUUAGGGAAGGAAUGAAGGAGCAAUGGAGGGGCGGGUGGCCGGCCAGCGAUUUAUCGAUAGAGAGGAAGGAGGGGGUGGGGUGCCACGUGGCGGGCGGCGAGUGGGCGGCUUAUCUGCGGCGGGAUCGCCGGAGCAAGGAGGUUCACACGCUGCUCAUCGUCAUCGAUGGGCGUGUGGAGGCCACGCAUACAGAUCGAGCAAGAACAUGUUGGUGCUCUGAGCUAGAACAGUGCAAUGUGCUACUGUCCACACAUUUGGCUGUGGUUGGUUUUUGGCCGGAUUGAGGUUUUAAGGUCACGGGAUCACUGCGAUGCAGAGGCCACUAGCUUGCUUGCGCCUUUGAUGGGUGGUUUGUGGCCAUCAUUGUUGGCAGAGUUCUUUGAUUGUGAACACACAUCUAAUAAAGUGCUAUCUAUCACACCAAUCAUCCUAACUUGUUUCUUCUAAACACAUUAAUUACAGAUGUACAGACACAUAUACAUGUACGCACAUACAGCUUCAUUAUCACAUAUUGGCAUGUCAAGUCUUGUGAUUGAAAAGGCCACGCUUGCCACAUUCCUAAAAUAAACUCAGUAAAAUGCAAGUAAAUCUGCUAAGCCUAGAAUUUAGAAUAGAAUUUAGCGGCAGCUGGUUAGACUCAUUGUGGUGGAACCUACCCAUCCGGAUUCGAUCCGUUAACUCGGCACAGGCGUUCAUAUUUUCUUGAAUUUAGGAAGAAAUUGAUACUAUACUUUCAGGGCUACGUGCUUGUCGAUAGUGAGUUGUUAGUCUAUCCAAGGUGCUCAUAAGGGUAGGAGUACAUGUGUAUAUAUGUAGAGGUAAGUAUGUGUGCGUGUAUGUGAGCAUUUGCAUCUGUACUUUACUAUUCGAAUUUUUUUUUUAUAGUCCAGCACGCUGAGGGGUGUUUCAACUCAAAUUUGAUGUUUAUUACGAUGUUGGGCUGGGGAAACGUGCUGCUUUCCUUUUGUGGGCUUUUAGUACUGGCAUCGGCGGCGGCGCGUGAAUGUCUAAUUAUUCAAAAAAUUAGACAUCACAUCCCAAAUGAUGGCCCAGCCCAGUACGUGCCUACCCGGCCUGUCAGUUUGAAGCCAAGCACGUAUGCAGUAUGAACGUGCUGGAUGCCAUUCCUGUCUGCUGCUGUUUGCUGCUGGUUCAGGUUGGAGGUUGUUGGUCAAUGAAAAUGAGAGACAACGCGGAGAAGAAAUCAACAACGCGUUAUGCAUUCGAUGGAUGCAUGUCGUCGUUCUUGUAAUUAACAUUGUUUGACUUGAUAUAAUUUUUGUAGCUUUUUUAAUAAUGAAUAGUAAUUCCAGCUUCGGUCCCCUUCGAAGAGGAGCUUCGGUCCAAAUUUAUUACAGAACGUAGCACACUGCUACUUGUCGGGAGGAGUUUCAGUCCAAAUUUAUUACACAACGUAGCACACUACUACUUAUCACAACAGGUUCAGACAAAUGUAAACCACUCAAAAAUCAGUUGUUAAAUUGAAGGACUAUCCAUUGGAACUAAAAAACGCAGUGCUGCCAUUUCCAAAGAACAACAUGCCAUUCACUGGAACUAAAGAAACGCAGUGCUGCUAUUUCCAAAGAACGGCAUGCCGAAACAACGGAUUCUUGGUCAUUCUCACUUUGCUGCAACUCGAGGCCAAUGCGUUCCCCUGAAUAGUACAUGAAAAAAAAAGUUUUCGGUCAGCAUUUAUAAAAACCACCUCAUUUCUAGUCAACCAUAUCGCCCAGCAUAAAGCUGCACUCCCCAUCAAUAAAUAAUGAUUUGGCUUGUGUCCCCCUUGUUUAGCCCAUUGGUUAAACAUAUUGCUUAUAUUCAUCGGUGGAGAUAAGCCAAAUACCAUAUGAACAGCACGUCGGAGAAGUUUGGCAUAAUGACACUUGAAGAAAACAUGGUCGAUGGACUCCACUGAACUACAAAAGCUACAAUAUUUGUUCCCAUUCCAAUUUCUCCGAGCAAGGUUAUCUUUUGUUAAAAUAACACCAUUUUUUAGAUACCACAUGAAGAUCUUAAAUCUUUAAAAGUAUUAUCAUAUGCCAAAUUUCCUAUGUGACUUUAAUCCCAUUACUGACGAGAUGUUUAUACAUAGAAUGUACAGUGAAUGAGCCAUUUUUAUGAAGGGACCAAUUAAAAGUAUCUCUCCCUUCGCAUAGGUUGACAUGUAUAAUUUUACCCACCAGGUUGUACCAUUCUAGUAGCUUAAUCCCCACUAGUGAUCUCCUGAAGGAAAUAUUUAGUGGUGUAGCAUAGAAGACAUCAGCCACUGUAGCAUGUUUCUUUCGCACUGUAUGGUACAAGUUAGGAUAUUGAGACUUUAAUGUCCUAUUUCCUAACCAUUAUCCCCCCCCCCAAAUCGGGUUUGUGCCCCAGGCAUAACCUUAAAGCGCCCCAAAUUGAGGAAGUCCUCCUUGACGCCCAUUAAACCCAUCCAAAACUGUGAAUCACCCGGUUUCUUAUAUACCUGGCCUAGAGGUUUAUUUCUAAGGUAUUUCUUCCUUAGUAAAUCCUGUCAAAUUCCCUCCUCAUUACAAAGUUUAAACAACCACUUGCUUAGUAGACAUCUAUUUUGUGUCUCUAAGUUCAUUAUCCCCAGGCCCCUAAUCCUUCGGGUGACAUAGUAAGUCCCAUUUCGCUACUCUAUAUUUUUUCCUGUGCUGAUCAUUCUGCCAAAAGAACCUUGACCUGAAGUGCUCUAUAUUUUUAGGACUCCCUUCGGGACCUCAAAAAAUGGCAACAUGAACAUGGGUAAGCUGAUUAAUACAAAGUUAAUCAGCACUAAUCAUCCCCCAACCGAGAACAUCUUUCCUUUCCAUCCACUAAGUCUUUUUUCAAAUCUACCUUCAAUAGUCCUCCAAUCCUUAUUACUUAGUUUUCUAAAGUGCAUUGGUAUGCCCAAAUAUCGAAAAGGGUAAGAGCCUAGUUUACAACCGAACAAAAGUGAGUAUGUAGACUCUUGCUCCCUUGCUUGUCCAAAGCAGAAGGUCUCAGUUUUAUGAAAAAUUAUUUUAAGACUACAUAAUUGUUCAAACAUACAUAAAAUCAGCUUCAUAUUUUUUACUUGUUCAAUAUCAUGGUCCAAAAAAAUCACCGUAUCAUCUGCAUAUUGCAAAAUCGAGAGCCCGUCUUCUAUUAAUUAAAUGUGGAACUACCCCUUUUACCUAUUCUUCAUUUUCAGCCCUUGCAAUGAUUAUCGCUAGCAUGUCCACCACUAUAUUAAAUAGUAUGGGAGACAGCGGAUCUCCUUGCAUGAGGCCUUUCCUUGUUUGGAAAAAAGGACCCAUCUGGUCAUUAACUUUAAUACCGACGUUCCCCCAUAGUGAAGGCUUUAAUCCAAUUACACCAUGUGGUUGAAAAAACCUUUCGUACUUAACGUUUGCUGUAAAAAUCCCAUUUCACCUUAUCAUAGGCUUUUUCAAAAUCUAUUUUAAACACUAUACCAUUUUGCUUCUUAGUAUGUAGCUCAUGCAAGGUUUCAUGUAAGAUGACAGCUCCUUCCAUUAUAUUUUUUCUUGGUAGGAAAGCUGUUUGUGACGGUCUAAUAAUCUUUUGUGCUACCUUGGACAUUCUGUUUGUGGCUACUUUUGUAAAAGUUUUGAAGCUCACAUUCAGUAGACAUAUUGGUAUGUACUGUUGAAUUUGCUUCGCUACACUACGCUUCACUAUAAUUUUUGUAGCUAGUUGUAGCAACCAAUUCCAUGCUUUUUUUAGUGCGUUGCUUGGCUAAAAAAGAGUGAGAUUUUCAGAACAGGUAUACACUACUAGCUACUCCCUCCAUUCCAAAUUGUAGGUCAUUUUGACUUUUCUAGAUUCAUAGAUAUUAUUAUGCAUAUAGACAUAAUUACGACGGUGAAAGCAUCUAUGCCCCUAAUUUGAGUUUUGGUAAUUAAUGACAACCUUCGUGGACUAACAAUUUCAUUGGAGAUAUGAGUUUAGGUUAGUCCCGGAAUUGAAUUGAGUUUCAAUGGAUGCUAUGGUGAUAGCUUGGAUGAGUUUACAAUAGAAAGCUUAAGGCAAAGGUAUAUGGUAGGGCUUUUCUAUUUUACCGGUCAAGAGGUGUUUAGUGGAUGAUAAUUGACCGGGUUAAUAGGCUAGAUAGCCCUACUAUCAAGAGGGGUCAAUUUUAUUUUCUUGACGGUUCAAUACUGCCACUUUGCUCAAACAAUUGCAUUGCAUGCAUAUAGGUCUAUCUUGUUUGAAAAGUGGGUAAAAUGAUGGUAAACAUAUGUUUUGAAAAUGGCUAACAUGAUGUGUAAGGAGGAUGGUCUCCUUUGUGAAGGCGGACCGUUAUUUGACUUUGCCAUAUCUUUGAAAUAGUUUUGUUGCACUAAAAAUCUAGAGGGCGGACGGUCCGACCCUGAGUAGGCAGACGGUCCGCCACAUGACUUGUUUUUAGAUAGAACCGGUUCUUGUUCUGGUGGGCGCAGGUUUAUAAAGGUGGACGUUCCACCCCCGGUUGGCGGACGGUCCACCACAUGAUCAGAAAUUUGUAUAGAACCAUUCUUGGUUCUGUGUGGGGCUGCGAUGUGAACGGCGGACGGUCCGGAUGUUGGUAUUUAGACCUGAUAACCUACCGAGGGGGGUGCCGAGGUAGUGUUUUAGUUAGUGGAGCUUGUCGAGAUCAGGAACUCGAAGGUAAACGCAGACACACGAUUUAGAUAGGUUCGAGCCACUAGAUUGCAUUGAAGGGGUCCCUACCUCACCUUAUAUUGCUGGGGGGUAGGGUUACAAGUCGGUUGGUUACAAGAAUACAGAGGAGUUCUACUCUUAUUACAACAAGUACUUUCCUAAUGCUCAACUAGUUCCUAUCUUUCCAUGUAGAGUACGUCGUCCUGCGUUAUGGUCUCCAUGUCAGAUGCGUCUCGGUGUCCAGCCCCAUAUUCAGGACUGUCCAAACCUACUGGUGGGCCCAUAGAUGCAUGUACGGCACCGGUCCCUAGGGGCGGACGGUCCGCCAGCUAACUUUGAGAGUUAGACAGAACCAUUUUAGUUCUGAGUGCUGGGCGAAGUUGUAAGGCAGACGGUCCGCCAGUUUUGGAUGGACGGUCUGCCGUACAAAUCUUCAUCAUGGACAUGUCUAGCAGCUCCCUGUGUGCUUGUAAAUUUGAACCGCAGAUGGUCCGCGCCUGUAAGGGUGGACGGUCCCCCUGUGCUGCAACUGUCAUUUCUAGCAUGCAUUUAUUGCGCUUGUAGCUAUUGGGAUGAACGGUGGACGGUCCACGCUCAUAGAGGCGCACGGUCUGCGAAUCCCCUGUUUUCAUGAGUUUUGAACAUAACGGCUAGAUUUGGGGAAGGCUCUAUGAAAGGAUCAUGCCCGGGCGUGGGAGAGCUCUCUUGGCACUUUGGAAAGAAUUCUUGACAUACUUGUGCCUUCUUCCUUCUCUCUCUUACUCACUUUGCUUAGAGGUUGAAUUCUUGUGAGAUUGAAAGUAUCCUAGUGCAUUGCAUCAAGAGUUUGAGCUUUGUGGCAUUAGGGAGUCUUCAAGCAAGCGUCAUCGACUUGUUACUCUUGGAUGUUGCUGCCUCCUAGACGGCUUGGAGAUUGUGGAGCCGUUGAGCCCUUCAAGAAGAUUGUGAAGGAGCCUCGGCUAUUCUUUCCUAGACGGCUUGGAGAUUGUGGAGCCGUUGAGCCCUUCAAGAAGAUUGUGAAGGAGCCUCGGCUAUUCUUGUGAGAGGUCCUUGUGCUUACCUCGUUGGAGUGGUGAAUAGCAACUCUAGUGGAAUCGAAGUUUUGUGAGAUUCUUUGAAUCAAGCCGGCUCAAGAUCAAGCGAAGUCUUAGUCGGUGUUUUAUACUCGUCAACCUACCGAGGGGUAUCCCGAGGUAGUAGAUUGGUUGGUGGGGGAUCGCCGGAUCUGGAACUCGAAGGUAAAAGCGAGGACACAAGACACAUAUUUAUACAUGUUCAGGCUACCAGAGUAGCGUAAUACCCUACGUCCUGUUUGGGGUGUUGUAUAUUGGGCCCUACGCUUGGGUGUUGUUUGAUGUGAGGAUUUGGUCCUCUAUUGUGGUUCUCUGAGGUCUUCGCCUACCGAUCUAGGCACCCCUACCCUCCUUUAUAUACUUAGGGGUGGGAUUACUAGUCGGUUACAAGGUAGGAGUCCUAGUAGGAUUACAAGGUAUGAGUCCUAGUAGGAUUAUAGAGGAAUCCUAGUAGGAGUCCGUCUUCUUCCUUCCUUGCAGGUACUAGGGAUCUAUCCCCGACAGUCUUGAUAGAGGAGCGGUUGAAACAUUGAAUCUACCUCAACGUGGAUUAGGAGUGACCGGCAAGUUAUCGACACCACGGGAUAAAUUCGUCUCUUGUCUUCGGUUAUUUCUUUGCUCAAUUUUCAUAUCGCAAUUUACUUUGAGGAAUUACAUUCCUAGAGAUUGAAUUGUAUCUCGUCACCCUAGGUUGCAAACCAGCACCUAGCUUUAAAAAAGAGUAGAAAUAUAAUUUCUCUUGUGUUACUAAUUAAAUUUAUUUAGUGUUGUGAUUUUAGUUAAAACUGUCUAUUCACCCUCCUUUAGUCGGUAUCCUAGAUCCUACAAACGGCCGAUUAUUAGAAACGACUGAAAAUUUGGAACAAUUUGGAACGAAGGAAGGAAGUAGAUCGAGAUCAAAACCGAUGUCACAUCUACAAAGUAGCUUGUCACCAUCCAAGCAGUGCUUGCUUUCUAUGCGGUUAAUUACGACGGCACGCAGAGAUAGAUAUUUGUUUCUAAAUUGAUCGAAAGAUAUCAUCACCGCCGAUUAUUAGAAGGUCUUAGUUGGAUUAAUAAUGAGUCUGUGUCUGUUUCAUGAGUUUUCACGGAUACCUAGUCCUACAACUCGAUCAAGCUGCAUGCGCAGCUGUCAAGCCCGGGACAGAUCAAUCCAGUGAUCGAUCGAUGGGCGCAUCAGAUAGAUCAAUCAUCAGGCAUAUGGAUGGAUGGAUUCCUUCCUCGUCAGGAUACUUCGUUUUCAGUUUGCCAUCUGUCGUGUUGCUUUUCAGACAGCAGUUGCAUGUAUCUUGUAAUUUGCUACUACUACCUCUCUCUCGAUCGUGUUGCUUCUCUACCAUCAUGUUCCCUCAUCCACAAGCAAAAUGGUCGAUGACUAGGUUGUUUCUUUCGUACAUAGUAAAGGACGAAGCCAAGAUAAAAAUGUUACUCCCUUCGUCCAUAAAUAUAUACAUAAAUAUAUACGAAGGUUAGAACAAAAUAGUAGUUAGUUAUACUUAAUAACAGCACCGAAAAUCUUUUAUUCAAUUACAAAAGUAGAGGAAAAAGCGCAAGGCAUUUUCACUUUCCCCCAAAUCCACUCAAUUUGGCCUGCACAAGAAAUAAAACACAUAUUGGCCUGCUUUAAGUAAUUUCUUGGCUGUAGCUUUGUUUCCACGCACAUGUCUCGUGCUCUACUACAUCGUUUAGUUAAUCAUACAAGAUAGCGUGUACGCAUACAGAGUAUAUAUUAAUCUGGUGUCUUUCUCUUCAGACAUGUCCGUAUAUAUUUUACUAUAUGGUAGUACGACAGCAAUAACAUACUAAUACUAUAUCGAUGCAUGGUUAGCUCCUGACUUGAGACAGUAGCAACUGAUUAUGCAUUAAAAAGAGUCUAAUUUAAUAAAGAAACAGAGAGAGAGAGAGAGAGAACUUUCCCGAGAACAGAUUAACAAUCUUUUGUACGUGACGUGAAGAUUGCUCCAACAAAGAUGGAAAUGGUCUCAGUCAAACCAUGCACGCUCUCUAUUUUUUUUUAAAUUGUUAUUAUAUUUUAGUGACAUCCAGUCAUGCUUCAGGUACACAUUGUGUAGCUCCUCUCUAAUUACCGUUAUUAGCUUCGAUAGAAUCCAGAUUUAUUUAACUAGGGUUAACUUUUAGAAAUGAAAAUGGUAAAAAUGUUGGGGCCAGAAAAUUUAUUAUCUGCAUUUUAAAUGGUGACAAAAUGUAUGCGCCGAUUCUCAGAAGGAAAUACGACGGGAGUAUAUGUUAUACCACCGCAGCAUAUAUCUAUUCCAAGGAAUAUUCCUGCCCAUCUUAGUGGUCAUCACUUGAUAAACUGAUAAUGAUGAUCUCCAAUGAAAUAAGGGUUAAUUAAGCACUUAAGAUCGAAUUAGGUCCAUAUAUAUUCGUACUUGUUGUAUUGGAUUUAAUCAUUUUUGCUUUGCUUAUAAGCAAGUCAAUUCGUUCUUGCCUUUUUCUUUUCUCUCCUUGUCCUGGACUCGUUGUCAGGGGAUCACAUAUGUGCAUGGCUGAUCUUCAGUCUCAGGAGAUGCUGAUGUGUCCAGUGUGCUCGCUCAUUCUUUAGACCAUCCAAGACAAUUGUCCGUCUCUAGAAAGGAGAACCUACCGUUUCUACUGUUCCCUUGGGCUAUUAAUGUUAGGCAAUUCUUUAUACUCCCUUCGUUCUAGUCGUUUUAGUAUUUUUAGUUUCAUCUAGAUAUAUGGGAUGUUUGGGGCUAAAUUUUAGUCGCUAUCACAUCGGAUGUUUGGACACUAAUUAGGAGUAUUAAACAUAGACUAAUUACAAAACUAAUUGCACAACCUCUAAGCUAAAAUGCGAGACGAAUCUAUUAAGCCUAAUUAGUCCAUGAUUUGAUAAUAUGGUGCUACAAAUAUGGUGCUACAGUAACCAUUCGCUAAUGAUGGAUUAAUUAGGCUUAAUAGAUUCGUCUCGCGAUUUAGCCUAGGGGUUCUGCUAUUAGUUUUGUAAUUAGCUCAUGUUUAGUCUUCCUAAUUAGCAUCCAAACAUCCGAUGUGACAGGGCUAAAGUUUAGCCCCUGUUUCCCAAACACCCUCAUAGUAUAUGUCUAGGUGCAUAAUAAUAUCUAUGAAUCUAGAAAAAUUAAAACGACCUACAAUUUGUAACGGAGGGAGUAGUAAAAGUCAAUCUCUGUAUUACUUUCUGAUAACGAUUAGUCUAAUUAUAUGCAUUUACUAUAUUCUUAUUUAUUUGAAGUGUAUUUAAUUUCUUAGCAAUUCAUAGUAUAUAAUUGAUGCUUAUCAUAUUUACCAUACCACCUUUUUUUUGUAAGAUUAUGUUGAUUUACGUUGCCACAGACAUUGGAAAUACUACCAUGCAUUUUAUAUUUGCUUUGCUGGGUUACGGAGCUACUUGAUUGUCAUCAUCCCGAUAAGUAUGUCCGCUGAUAAGAGAUGACGUUACGAGUGAACAGACCUUUGCUGUGGAAGCGAAAGAUACUCUUGCUUUUGCUGUAUUAUUGUGCUUUGAGUAUGGUUUUGUCACGCAAGACUCGCUGAUUGUUUGUGGUGUCUUGCUGAUCAAUCCCACGUUGACAUGCUGCAUAUCAUGCAAAUCAUGAAGCGACUCGAAUCUCAUUUCUCGGAAUUCAAGCCUACACACCUCCGUGAUAAUUUCAGAAAAACUAUCACAUGCGAAUUCCUAUCUCAGAUAGUAUAAAUUCAUACCAACAUAGAAAUAUAGAAUAGCAACAGAGUCACAGUAUCAUAAAUAUCGAGUACAUUACUUCGGCACAUACCAGUAUAAGUCCAUCAGGAAUGAAUCAUGAAAGGUAAAACAUCUACGCAGCGAAAAUAUGAGCUAUAGCGAGCAUCAUCUCCAGAGGCGACUUGAGCGAGGGACCAUCCCUAGUCUUCCCAUCCAUUAUUGUCAAAGUCGUAGUCGGGCUCUGACCCUGAAAUGCCACCAUCUACCCGAGAAGCGGGUAGGCCAUGUCAACUCCCAAUAGCAGAAAGCCAAGGAAUUGGGGAAUAAUACUAUAUGAUGCAACAGCAGUAGUCAAGGAUGCAUCAAAGCAAUACCAUCUCCGAGGUCAACACCUCACAUCAAGGAAGUCAUCAUAAAUCACUAGAUCCUUCACCCAACAAUCCAGCACCCAAACACACUAGGCAAUGUGAGAGCUUCCACCCUCCACAUCUCAACGGCAAAUGCAGUCUAUCUCAAAAAGGAAGGUGGAAGUAUAAUAUAAGUCUAGUCAGAAGCAACGGUAGUCAACAGUACUAUCCAUAACCAGUGCACACGGACUAUAACUAUAGAUUUAUAUACUUUGUAGAGGUUGUACACUGUACCUGCACGGAUGGAGCCUGAACAGUAGCGUCCAAACCCCACCUAACGGCCGGAGCCCUAAUAAGUGGAUAGUACUCUCCUGUUUCCUCGAGUCUAGAACCGUCCUCAACUGCAGGGCAUGCCGUCACCAGUUGAGGAUCUCGAAGCUAUGAAACCUACCAACGUCGGGGUGCAGUCUGGUAAGAGCAUGUCAACGCCUCGAACUCUUUACACUAAUCCUCCAAUCCGCCUACAGGCUGAGCAUCAAGCGGAGAUGGGUGGAGCGGCGUCGCUCGAGGUGAGCGCGGCUGUGGGCGCCCACGCACAUGGCAAGGGGAAAAGGGCUUCUGGAAGCCUCCCUUGCCUCGGUCGGGCCUGCUGACGGGAGAUGCGGCCGUGGGUGCGGCGUGCUGCUGGGCGCUCAUGUGGCGUGUUGCUGGGCAAGGAAAGAAUGGGGGAGGGAGAGAGCGGCCGGGCGCAAAGGAAAAAGCAGAGGAGCAGCGGUGUCCGUGCAGGGAGGAAGAAAAAGGAACAGGGCGAGAAAGAGACGGCCAGGUGGGGCCUUCUCGUCAGCGACUAAGGGGCGCUCGUGUGCAAAGUUAGUCAUACUAGGUUUUUAUAAUUAAGUUAGUUUUAGUUUGUAUUUUGAGUUAGAUUCAAAAUACAAACACACCUUUGAGAACCAAAUAAAAUCCAAAUCACUCGUGACAAGCAUGUUUUAAAUUUAAAUGCACAAAUUUAAUUACUAACUUUCAAAUUUAGGGAAAGAAAUGAGGGUUGACUUUAAGUUUGACCAUGUAAUUAUAUGAAACACACAUUUAAACAAAUUUUUUUAAAUUUUUGCAAAAACUGGCACAAUUAAUAACACUCAAUUUGUAAGGAUACUACAUAUCAACUCUGCAUGGGUGUAGUAUAAUUCCUGCAUUAUAUAUGUCAAAUGAUAUGAUGGUGCCUAUCCAGUAGCAUAGUAGUAUUACUCAUUCCAAUCCUAAAUAUACUAAAUAUAUGACGUUUAUGAUAAAUAAAUUACUUUCAUAUUCAUAGAGCGAUCAAUUGUUUGUCAAAAGGAUUGUCCCAGCGAAACAAAACACACGAUAUAUAUUUAUGAACGGAGGAAGUAUUAGUUUGUGUGAUUCUAAUCGUGUUGAAGUCAUGCAUGGAGAGAGAUGCAACAAGACGAGAAUACGAUCGAUUGGUUGGGGACACGUUGGGCAGGCAACAUCACAGGACGAUGCAUGAUUGGAGUAGCGCGAUGCUAAGCUGGUAGGGGUGUGACUUAAGUGGAUAAAGUUAGAUUAGUCAUAUUUGGUAAUAAUAUAUAGGCUUUGCAUUGCUUGAUAUACGAGCCGUCGUGUACGUGUGUGGUUAUUUUAUUUUUUUUGCUGGUGAUUUCUUAUAUAUGUUGCUUGGUAUACGUACGCUACAGCAUGUACAUGCAUGAUUGUUUGCUUUUGCUUGCUGGUUUGUUCCAAGAGGGCAAUCUAUGAUUGCUACUAAGCCUCUUUGUGAGAGACGGGACGUUGUAAACUUGACGUCACCAACACAGGGAGGGUUAGAUCGAGAAACAUGGACAGAUGGCGACACAAUCUAUUUUUUUUCCUUACUUUGAAAGCUGUAGAAAAUCUCAGGCCAUGCAUCCUUAGCUUCUUGAAAAGAAAACGGAGAUAAUUACGAGUUGUCAACCAUAACACAUGUAUGAGGCAUGAACGAGAGGACUGGUUUUGAAUUAGUCACUGAUAGGUUUUUUUUCCUAGCAUCAUUAAAUACAUAUUAGAAACGGAGAAAAAGGACCCAUUUAUUAUUUGUAAAUAGGUCACAAGCACAGCCUGCUCAGAACUGCACAUUUGUAAAUAGGUCACAAGUUCGCAACAGAGCAAAAGCUACAGCACAGAGUAUGGGCUGCUGCGGCAGCUGCUUGAGGCUAGCAGCCGAGCGGCUGGGCUGCCAGUUGCAGCUGCAGCCGCUAAAGGCUGUUCCGAGCAGGCUAGACUAUGAAAUGUCAACCGUCUCAUGGGUUGAAUAAAAUGACAAUAUGAGGAUUAGCAUGUUUGGUUGGUCCUAUCACCUUUUGAUGUAUUCGUGAGAUGUUAGAAACGUGUAUAUGUAGGGAAAACCAUACCAUUUUUGUUAUUUUGUUUGUGUGAAACGGAUGAUGUACUGUUGCGAUACUAUAAGGGCUUGUUUGGCUGCCGGGGCUAAAUUAUAGCACAUGUCACCUUAGAUGUUUGGAUACUAAUUAGGAGUAUUAAAUAUAGGUUAAUUAUAAAACUAAUUGCACAGAUGGAGGCUAAUUCGUGAAACGAAUCUAUUAAGCCUAAUUAGUCCAUGAUUUGACAAUGUGGUCCUACAGUAACCAUUUAAUGAUGAAUUAAUUAGGCUUAAUAGAUUCGUCUCGCGAAUUAGCCUAGGGUUUCUGCAAUUAGUUUUAUAAUUAGCUCAUGUUAAAUCCUCCUAAUUAGUAUCCGAACAUUCGAUGUGAUAAUGGCUAAACUUUAACCUCUAGUAUCAAACAGCCCUAAAUUGCAGUUUCAACAAGUUUUAGUUUGAUUUGGUCUGAGCAAUAGGAAAGUUGAAGUUAGGGUCAGGGUUGCCUACCAAGGUGAACAGACGCGGCACCAACCUCCUCCCCUCCAGUCGAGUCGGUGGUGAGGUGGGGAGGAGGACACCUUGACCUGACCGCGUCGGCGCACGCUUACCAUUUAUUGCUACUUCCUAAUUAUUUUGAUUUAUUUAUUUACUACAUAACUAACUAACUAAAUAAAUAUGCAUACUUGAGAAAAUAAGAAAAAAAAAUCAAAGGAAAGGGGGGAAUAGAUAGAAGAUAGUUGUGGGUGGGGCCCACCGAAGCACGAAGAAGUUAGUAGCGGCGACAAGGAGGAAUAAUAACAAGCAGGAGUAGUAGUAUUUCAAUUUCUUUUGGUCAGCCGUGGGUGGCGUCUUCUUCCCGUCCUCCUCCUCCCUGCGCUUCCCUCUUUCGCCGCCCCGCCGAGGAUUCCAGCGCCGCCGCUAAUUGCGAGAGCCCGCCGCGCACGCAGCCAACCAGCCCCCCGAGGAUUGGAUUCCGUUCCAAUUCCACCCGCGGGGGAAGACGAAGAGGACUUCCAUCGAUUCCACCGGUAAUAAUAAGGUAAGAAGCCAACGGCACUGCCCCUCCCCCCUCCUCCGCCAUGACCGGACCAUCCACCGGUACGGUGUGUGUCAUUGGAUUCCAUUCCCUUCGCCUGGGGUGGGGGCGUGAAUUUCUCUUGUCGUGUUGCCGUCCGCCUCGUUAAUCCCCCCAAAGAGCACAGCUGGGCCACCUCCCUUCCCCCCCUUUUUUAAAUUUGUUUUGUGCUUGUAUAAACUAGCAAAUACUAUUUGGAUCUUGUUUUCGAUUAUUGCUCGCUCCAGUCCGGGGGCAGGCAGGCGAGGCUGGCAGGUUGGCCCUUCUUCCACCUCCCUCCCUCCCUCUGCUGCUGCUUCCUUGGGUUGCUUGGAUUCAUCGCCACCACCUUCCUUGCUGCUGCUGCUGCUUUCGAUUUCAUAAAUCUCUACACCAGUAAAUAUCUACUUCUAAUCAUCAAGUCAAGGGGGUUCCCUCCCGGCGAUCGCCUGCACGGAUUUGCAAGAAUUCCCCAAUCGAUUUGGGAGUUGAUUCUUACUUGUUCUUGGUGACUAACCAAUAUGAAUGCGCUCCAAUUCAACUCUUCCGUCUUCUCCAAGUUUAAUUGACCGGGUCUGCUGCUGUUGCCGCCAGGUCAAGCAAGCAGCAGAUACAUAGGCGGGCGGGCGCGGGGGAUCUCAUCCCAUCUCAUCCGCUUCCGCUCAGGCUGGCUCUGAGCCCCGCGCCGAUUCGGUUCCACGCGCCCCAACAGAACCGAAUAUCACCAGCACCUGCAAGGGCAUGUGACAGCCGCCGCCGCAGCCGCAGGCAAUGUGCUCCGACAUGGAUCAGCACCACCACCACGCAACCAGGUACUACUACUGUCUCUGCCCUUCCUUCCAUUGGACUCCUCAGCCUCCUCUGGAUUGUAACCCAUUCAGAUUAACUAAUCUAGUCCUGUGCGCCACCUGCCUCAAUGUUUGACUCUGCUCCUGCUCAGCCAGGUGUAUUAUCAUGUUAGUUGGAUCUCUUUGCACAAUACUUACUCUCCCCUAGUAUGUUGCAGCACGAAUGCAUCGGUCACUUGUUUGUUUCUUUGCCAACCAGCUAAGCCUGCACUAGAGCUUUAUUUAGUUUUGGAUGGCCCAAUAGAUAGCACAGGUAUAUGCUGCCCCUGAAUUAUCAUCUUCUUUAUUCUUGCCCAACAAACAGGGAGGCUGCGUCGGAGGUUUUACAUGCUAAUGGUGACCAUCGCAGUCUGCAUGCACCACAUCAUCUCGGACAGAAUCAGCCUGGGGAUACCAAUAAUAACCAGCAUCCAUCCACAGAUGACUGUUUUACCUCCAAUGCUUCAUGGCACAGAAAUGGCGGGAUGAGCCGCAAUCCAUCUGCAUCUUCUGUUGACAACCACUCGGUCAAGUCUGGGGAUGAUUCUGAUGGGGCUGAGAGUACCAAAGGCAGUGAUACGGAGAUUUCACGCCUGCUAAACGAUACCAUCUGGAUGCCACCUGAGGCCGCAGAUAAGGAGGAUGAGGCCGAGAGCUUCGACGACGAUGAUUAUAGCGACGGGAUCAAGUGGGGCCACUCAAGUUUCCCGUCCCCUGGUAAGGAACAUGACGCCAGCCCGAGCAAUCCGAGGGAGGAGCGGGAGAAGGCGAUGCUAGAAGCUAUGAAUGGCCAGCUCAAGAUACUUGUAAGCCGCUUCCUGGCAUCUGCUGGCAUCUCUUCUUCCAAGGAAGAGGGUAGCGACAGUUGGCUUGACAUCGUCACCUCCCUAUCAUGGGAAGCAGCGCUACUUAUUAAACCUGACGGUACCAUGGGAAAGGACAUGGAUCCUGGAUCUUACAUCAAGGUCAAAUGCAUAGCAUCUGGUACUCGCCGGCAAAGGUGAAUACAAUUUUUCAGCUAACCCUUUGUUUUCAGACCAAUGGAGUUUCUAUUUUUGGUUCAACCUUCAAACUGUAUCCCUUCACCUGGCAAUGUACUGGUUGCAGUGAGGUGAUCAAGGGGUUAGUCUUCAAGAAGAAUGCUGCUCAUAAGCACAUGCCGACCAGUUACCACAGUCCUAGGCUUCUGCUUCUCAAAGGAGUCCUUGGGCAUUCUGAUGUCGGUUUGUCAUCAUUUAAUUCAAUGGAUCAGGUUGGACUUCACAUAUCUAUAUGCACACAAAUAGUAAACCUACUCUGUAUUGUUGCAUUGAGGGAUAACACAUUUCUAUUUUCUAUGCCUUCAAUAAUUAGGAAAAGGACCUUUUGGAGAGAGCUAUUGGUAAAAUGAUGGAGAUGUGCAGUCCUAAUGUUGUUAUGGUUGAGAAGACUGUUUCACGAAACAUACAAGAACUCCUUCUGAAAGAAGGCGUCACGCUAAUUCUUGAUAUGAAGCUCAACCGGCUAGAGAGAAUUGCACGUUGUACGGGUUCUCCCAUAAUCUCCUUUUCAGAAUUUUUAAACAAACCAAAGCUGAAGCAAUGUGACUACUUCCAUAUCGAGAAAUUUACUGAGGAGCAUAACACCACCAGUGAGGGUGGAAAGGUGCCAUCUAAAACAUUGAUGUUCUUGGAAGGCUUUCCAUGUCCAUUGGGCUGCACGGUAUGUAUAGUGUGCACUCAUCUUAUACUCAAUUCAGUACAUUCGAUGUGCACUGAUAACACUCAAUUGAUUAAAUAGCAAGUUCCAAACUGAUUAGUAUUUUACACAUUUUGGAUUGAUAUUUACAGUAACUGUGGUUUCUUUCUCGUUCAGAUAUUGCUCAAAGGAGCAAAUAGCGAAGAAUUGAAGAAAGUCAAGCAAGUCAUGCACUUCACAGUCUUUGCAGCAUACCACUUGAUCCUUGAAACUUCUUUCUUUGAAGAUCAAAGGGUUUUUCUUAAUGAUAAAAAUAUUCCAAAAGAAAACUCUGUUAGUUCUAUGGAAGGGCUAUCAACAACUGCUUUUGAUCUUGCUGCUCUUGGUGGUGCUAUCCCUAAUUUUCCUUCACAUGAUGACUCUCCAGCACUUCGAUUGUUCCAUCCCACUUCUAAUAGCUAUGUCGAUGUGAACAAAACUUUGAGAUCUCCAAGAAAUUUAGAUGCGCCGAGUUCAAUAACCAGCAGCUCUGAUCUUCAAGAAGGUGCAAGCAUCCGGUAUGACUCAAGUCCAUCCACUAAUUCUGAGAGGAUAGCAUCAGGAGUCCCAGGACCGCUGAGGAAAUUGUUUGCAGACAAUUUAUGUCACCAGAAUAUUUAUUUACCUGUUACGUCAUUGCAAGAGACAAAUGAUAAACAGAAAGAAGUCAGGGUUCAAUCCAGUCAAGAAACUCUUAGUAAUGGUUUUCAUACUCCAAAGGUGGAAGAGUCUGCGGUUUCCAGUGAAAAUGAGGAGUCCACAAAUGGUACCCAGAAACAAGAGAUUACUCAAGCAAUCAUGCAAACAGGUUCCUCUGCAAGUGAUAAAAGUGGAGAAUCACCUGCUACGGUAGAAAACGGAGCACAUAGCGGCACCAGUAUUGUUAUCAAAGAGAGAGAUGUUGAUGACGAUCAAGCUGAUGAAGCACUUGAUUCUCACAGCAUACUGAUUUUAAUGUCUAGCCAGUGCACAGAAAAGCAGAUUAUUUGUGAACAGAGCCAUUUAACCCGUAUAAAAUAUUAUGGGAAUUUUGAUGUGUCAUUGGGGCGGUAUUUGCAAGAUAUUUUGCAGAAUCAGGUAGCACUAUUUUCUUCGUUUUCUUUCAGUGUUUGCUCUUACGUGAAAUAGCCAUAUUUUGCGUUAGUAAUACAACUUGAUUGGUUUAAGAUUAAGACUCAGCUUGUUAAUUUUUUAUUCUAGCAGAAACUGAGCUGCUCCUCAUGUGGAGAGCCUCCAGAAUCUCACAUGUACUCCUACACUCAUCGAAAUGGAAAUUUGACCGUGCUAGUGAAGCGGCUUGAGCCCCAACACCAUUUGCCUGGCGAAUCUGAAGGAAAAAUAUGGAUGUGGACUAGGUGCUCAAGAUGUGAUCACGAACAUGGGAUAUCCAAAUCAACUCCAAGAGUAUUAAUAUCAGCUGAAGCGCGCAAUCUCUCAUUUGGGAAGUUCCUGGAACUUAGUUUUUCAAGCCAUUCUGCAGCCAGAAGGUUAUCCAUAUGUGGACAUUUGGUGAACAGGGAUUGCUUGCGCUUUUUUGGGUAUGCUACGCAUAUAUACAUUUUACACAUACAAAUGAUUUAAAUAGAACUAACUCCUUGCUAGCCUUUAGGCUGUAGCAUGGCAUUGCCAUGGAAACUAUUGUUUUUCCAGUGUGGUGAUGGAUACAUCUGGUUUUGAUUUCAGGUUGGGCUCUAGAGUUGCUAUGUUCCGGUAUUCAUCAGUUAAAAUUUACACUACCUGCAAACCACAACCCACUCUCCAGUUCAUCAACCCCAUCAGACAGGAUUGGUUCGAAGGGCAAAGGAGACAUGUAUGGCUUAUUCUCUUUACCAUUUCGUUUGUUAAUUAUCUUCAGUUCACGUGCAGUGGUGUCUAACUUUUAUACUGUAUCUUUCAAGGUUCAUGCUAGAGGUGUGACACUUUAUUCUAAGGUUGCAACCUUGCUACAAAAGUUGAAGAAUGAACAUUCUGAUGUGAUAAGAGUUGCAAUCAAUUGUGGCCUCUCACUCCCUAUUAAGGACUUUGCUGAACUCGAAGAGUUGUUGAUCAAAGAAAAGGCUAGCUUUGAGGUAGGUACCCUUGCAUUAAUUUCUGUUAUCAUAGGUCCUACAUAAUUGUUCUUUUCAUUACUGUUUAUUAGUUUGUCAAUAUCUGUAUCGUUAUGCAGGGUUCUCUGGACAAGGCCAUUGACCAAAAUGGGAGACCAUCCUCAUCUGUGCAAGAACUUUUGAAUAUAAAUUGGUCCUAUCAGGACCUUCUACUCAGACUUUACAUAUGGGACCGUCGUCUACAUCAGCUUUUCUACUGUAAAUCUGUUGGGCUAGAAACUGCUGCUAAUUGCAAGAACCCUGCUGAUAUUGUGAACGAGAUUUCUGAUGGCAACUUUGAAAUUGGUAAGAAAAUCAGUCGAUUCACAUAUAAUGAAACUAUGACAGCUUUUGUGGCAGCAAGGGUCACUGAGUCUGCAAGUAACAAACUUUACCUUGACCAUCAAUCAGGUGACACUGGAGCACCCUCGCUUGAUGGAAAUCUGGAAGCUGGGAACUCUGAACUUUCUUGCAAUGGAGGCAGUAAAGAUGAAGAAUCUUCCAUUGGUCCUAGUCAAAUAGAUGUAGAUAGCACAACAGAAGCCCCCAAAGUUCCUUGUUUUGAGAUAUCCAAUGAGAAGGGGGUCCAGAGAAAUGUUACAGUGGCAGACACAAUACCUGUGGAACAGGAGCCAUCUAGCAGUCCCCAACAGUUCAAAUAUCAAUAUUGGGAUAGCACAGAAAGGUGGAUUUGGAAUCCAAUUGAUGAAUCUCAAUUGGCUUAUAGGAAUGACAUUCAAGAUGGAUAUUUGGAUGAAUUUGAAAUCGUUAACCAUUAUAAACCAUCUUACCUGCCUCCCUUGUUUGAACAGCAAGACGAUGCAUACCCUCCGCAGUUCACAGUUGGUCCAGGUAGUAAUAUUCUGUGUGUACAGGAGGAUGAGAUAUCAAGCAUAAUAGCUCGUGCUCUUGCCAUGUCUGAUGAACGUCACCAUUUAAAAGAUUCCUCUUUCGAGAAUGAGAUGGAGAACUACAGGGGAGAGCAUGCUAGAACGAUGGAGAAAUCUUUUAGUUUUAUGUCUGCAAGUUCGUACAGCUCAUCACAAUGGUCAUCUACUGGAUCUCAAGAAUCUGAAGCUAGCUUGUCAUCUAUCUCGUCAAUUGCAUCUGACGAUUUCUCUGGUUAUGAUAGCUCAUCCUUAUUGUCUCCAGCACAUCCAGAAAUAACCGUCAACGGGAAAGUAACUUUCAGAGGCAAAUACUCGGUCACUAGUAUAUAUGCUAAUGAAUUCUAUGAAUUAAGAAAGAAGUGCUGCCCAUCUGAGCUUGCAUAUAUUACUUCUUUGAGCCGCUGUAAAAAGUGGGAUGCUCAAGGUGGAAAGAGCAAGGCAUUUUUUGCAAAGACAAUGGAUGACAGGUUUAUCAUUAAGCAAAUCAAGAAAACAGAGUUUGAAUCAUUUAUUGAAUUUGCUCCUCAUUACUUCCAGCAUGUUUUCCAUUCCCUGGACACUGGAAGCCAAACUUGUCUUGCUAAAAUAUUAGGAAUCUAUCAGGUAAUUUAUAUCAACAGCUCGAGCUUGAUUUCAGUUCAUCUUCCAGGCUUAUUUUUUUAUGUGGUCUCACUUGCCUUUUACAGGUUAAGCAUAUUAGGCAUGGCAAAGAGGUAAAGAUCGACCUGAUGGUGAUGGAGAAUCUUCUCUUUGGCCACAAUAUUUCACGGAUUUAUGACCUCAAAGGCGCUACUUUUUCACGUCGCGUUGCUGACUCAAAUGAUCAUGACACUGUUUACCUGGACCAAAACUAUGUUGAGGACAUGGGUGUUUCUCCAAUCUAUAUUGGUGGAAGAACAAAGCAUCUUUUGCAGCGUGCUAUCUGGAAUGACACGGCUUUUCUCACUGUAUGUAUAUCUUUGCCACAAAUCACUUGUAAUUAUGUUUUUUCAGCAAAAAUAUUUUUUUAACAUAGUUGUUGUGCUUGCAGUCGGUCAACGUCAUGGACUAUUCUCUUCUUGUUGGAGUGGAUAAACAAAAGCACGAACUUGUAUUUGGCAUCAUUGAUUAUCUGAGACAAUAUACUUGGGACAAACAACUGGAGACAUGGGUGAAGACUUCUCUGGUAGUACCCAAGAAUGUUUCACCAACCGUAAUUUCCCCCAGGGAGUACAAGAAAAGGUUUAGGAAGUUCAUGGCAAAGUACUUCCUCACAGUUCCAGACACUUGGAGUCCUGAUAUUCCUUCUAAGCAGUGCAAAUCCAUUGGUCAUAGCAAUCACAAGUCGGUAGAAGUCCAGAAUGGUGAUAGCCUGCUUCAGCAUCCAAAUGAGGCUGAGGCAUGUGCCUGAUCCUAUGCAGGACCUCCUGGCAGUUUUCUUGAAGCCUAUUCAGUUAUCAUUUGGCUAAUUUUUCAUUUUUGUAAAAUGGUGUACAUAGGAGGACCUCACUGUUGAUCUAUCCAAAAGUUUGCAGCUUUUAGGCAAAUUGUUGGGGCAUGUGAGGUCCACAAGACAUGUACCUAUACAAAUGUUCAUUGUUAAUUUCACAAUUAUUAUAGUGAAAUUAAAAAAAAUUCAUAUGAUCAUUUUUUGGACCCAUCACCUAAGAGUCUGAAGCAGUCUUCUGUCCAAGAUAGAAAUUUUCUAUCGCUGUUGAAUUAGAUCAAUUUGAGUACCAUUUUGUCCUAUUUACCUCAAUGUGGCUGCUGGCAUCUGGAAGGGGAGGAGCAGCAUAAUGCUCCUGAUCUUGCUGCACACGGUACAAUGUAGUUUUUCCUGUAUGCCCCCCUUCACUUUUUUUUGCUACUGUACAGUAUACAAGUUUGUCAGAACACCAGGUACGGUCCAUACUGCUAGCUAUUUUCUUUCAUAAAACGAAUUCUAUGGGUGAGAUUAAGUUGCUUGUUUGUUCUAUAUUCUGUCUUUUCCUGGAAUAUUACUGCGAUAUGUAUACUCCAAAACUGUUCUUAGAUCUUCAGAGAUAAAAAUUUAAUUUGGUUUUGUCCUGUUCAUUUUCAGACUUCUUCCCUGGGGAAAGUAGCUGCCUGGUGAUGUGCAUGGAGGAUAAUGUCCAGUUGGGGGUUAUAUUACUAUAAUCCUGAUCAAUGAGCUGAUGGCAAGAGCUUUUCAUGUGUGCCAAAACCUGCUUGAAGAAGUACCAAAACCUGCUUGAAAAAGUGAUCAUUGUGUCUGUUUCAGAAAGAGCCAUUGGAUUUGGUGGAUUGAUGAAGGUCAGCUUUUCCCAGCACAGGCGGCGUCCCAACCCCAAAGUGUGGAAUAUGGAUUGCGGUGCUGCUGCUUACCAUGAUGUAUCUUAUCUUUUUGGCUUUUUGGCUCUGGAAGGCACAGGUCAAUCAAUUUGGCAUUUCAACCGGUCGCAGAAGCUGAUUUUGGUUGGCUCACAAGAGGUCCACAAGGUGAUCAUCCUGUUCCAGUUCCAGAAGGCUGUUUCUCUCAUCAUCACAGAAAGCAAAUGGUGACUGUCUUCAGAGAUCAAAGAGAAGCAUCUCAAGACAAGAACCUCACGAAGGUCACAAAAGGUACCAUCUCUCUAGUUCCUUCCCUUGUUGUCUAUCUUAGCAACAUGAGCAAUCUUUACGCUACCAUUCAGCAUAUUCUUGAACUGUUGGGGCGAUAUGAUCCAUGAUAAUGAAAGCAUAAGCCUACCAUCGAAAACAAAAACAAGCAAAAAGAAUGACAACUAUAAAGGCUAAUUUCCCCUCUGUUUUUUUCCAUUCCUUUUUGUCUCCUAUGUCUAACAAGUUGGCCACAUCUCUAUAGCCCUUUUCCAGUUAUAGAAAAGGUACAAAGAGUUGGUUUUCCUUUUUCCGAGGUCUGAUUGGUGGCGCUUGCAGAUUCUCCUUUUCACCAUCAACUAUUAUAAUAUCUAAAAGAUAUGUUGUAUUAAAAAAUGCUAGAGAUAGAUAUGUUCUGGUUCUGGUUCUGAUUCUGGCAAAUAGGGGAACUAGGGAAGCAUACAAAUUAAAGACGAUCAUGAUUCGAUUCUGCAUGCACGAGUCAAGUAUGGACACCCUGACCCUACUAGAAUGGUAGCAGCUAGAGAGUAAACACAGCACAGCAGCGCACUCAAAUCGAACCAGAUGGAGAAGGAAAACAAGCAAACAAAAAAGCACCUUCCCUUGGGUUCCCUAGCUAGAAUUGUAGUUAGUCUUGUUGUAUCUACGGGCCGGUACUAGCAUACAAGAAGUGCUGAGCUGAACUUUUUUUUUGUUGUUUCAGGUAGCUAGCGAUGGCUGCAGAGGUCGGAGAGCAUCUUCCUGCCCUCGACGAUCUCGUCGAAGAAGUCGUCGAGCUCGACGAUGAGGCUCUCGGCUCCCGAUCGCAGCAUCCCAACCCAGCCAUUGAUGAUCUCGGCUCUCUGGGCGAUCUCGUCGUGGUCGCAGUAGCCCCCCAUGCGAACGACCCUGUCCAAAAGUCUUGCUUGAGGCUGUCGAUGGCUGCCCGGGCCUGGCGGAACUCGUACAUCAUGAUGCCUGCAGUAGAUGUAGAGUGGUGGUCGCCCACCACCCGCUGCAACCAAGGAUGGAGUCCCAUCUCCUGGGCGACGCGGUGUCGCAGGCGCGCCAUGGAGGCGACGUAGCCCGAGGUGGCGCGGAGGUGCUGGUGGGUGGCAGCAGCGGCAGCAGAAGAAGUGAGGAGGUCGGGGAGACAGGUGACGGUGCCGGAGAUGAGGAGGACGAGGAGGAAGGAGGUGGCGUUGCGGAGGGCGUAGAGGACUCCGCGGAACCCGUUGAAGGCGUUGAGCUUGAAGUCCCUUGGGGAGCGGGCGUCGAGGAGGAGGGAGGCCGGGUCGAGCCUUGCGUCGGCGAGGGCGCGGUUGUCCUGCUGGAGUCCGGCGGCGUGUCGCCUGGGUGCGUUGAUGGCGCGCAUGAGGUGGUGGUGGUGGUGGUGGUGGUGGUGGUGCGGUGCGGCGGAGGCGGAGUAGAGCGGCAGCCAGUCGUGGACGGCCGGGGCGACGCGGGCGGCGGAGGCGCAGUAUGCGUCGAGCGCGGAGGCGCCGGCACGGGCGAGCUGGCAGGCGUCCCAGAGGCGGGAGGUCUCGUCCAUGUACUCGUCCAGCCACCGCUCGCCGGGAGGGAGGUGGAGGCGCUGCACCACGUGGAGAAGCUGGGAGUGGAGGGAGCGGAGGAGGGAGGCGGCCUGCUGGAGGAAGGGAGCCGAGAGGCACGCGUGCGGGCUGCGGUGGAGGGCGUCGAGGCCGUGCGCCAUCGCCGAGUAGAACCCGCCGUGCGCCAUUGCUGCUGAUGGUGUCUGGUGGUGCUGGGAUGCUGGUGGAAGAACUGUGACAGCUGGUGUGCAUGGUGCUGGGCGCUGGGUUUUAUAGAUACUCCAUCCACAAUGGGAGUGGAAGGCCAAGGAAAAGAAGAGGAGGCCGUGUAAUGCCUCCUGCUAAUGAUGGGGUGUCUGAUGCGCAGGGGGAAGGAUGAUUGUUGAGGAGAUGAUGAAUCGGACUGAAUUCGAUCGAUCCAUCCUUCCUUUCCUCUGUUUCCUCAUGACUCCAUUACUACGAUGAGAUGAGAUGAAACGAGACAGGGGUCGCCGUGCUGCUUCUCCUCUGUCGGUCCAGGGGGUGGAUCAUCCACCCUUUGCUCUGUUUGCUCAUGCAUGCAAUGCAACGCCGUGUUGUGUUGGGUUUAGCUGGAAUGUCUGUACCAAGCCCAGAUUGUUCACCAAGUAGCUAGUAGGUGUAGGCAAUAAAACUCAUUAUUAUACAUCUUGGUCAUCUGAGUUUGUUGAGCGUUUAUGUUGUUGUUGAACAAAUACUCCUAAACUGUGGAUGCAUGCACAGCACAGAUGCUACUUGUAGGACAAACAAAGUUUCAAAGGCGGGCAGGGAGUCCAAGAGAUUUGUCUUUUCCAGCCUAGAGUCUAGAGCUACUAGAGUCCGGUAGAGGAAUGAGUGAUUGGGUAUAUUCAAGGUAGGAAGCAGGGGUGAUGGCGGCAGCAGCAGCCUAGCUGGAAUGAUGGGUCUCCUUGUACCCGUACAAAUCUCUCUGGCCGCUACAAGCGCCUCCCCGCCUUUUGAGGCAUCCCUCCCUCUUCACCCGGGACGGGGCCUCCCAGCAAUCAUGCCUGGAUAUGUGCCCGUGCCCUGCCUCCCCUUCUUCUCCUCCUUACUACUACUCUAAUGCCAAAGCUUCAAAUCUUCAGUUGCUCAUCGGCCGUCUAAUCGCACGAUCAAGGGCUCGGAUCAUCUCGAUUACAUAAUCAUUCCACGGUCGUCCCCAAUGAUGGUGGUUAAUUACUCCAAUUUUGUUGCCGCAACUAGAGUGCUUAAUUAGUCCAAAAUAAACUAGAGUAGGAUUCCAAGGAAAGGAACUGGUCCAAGUAGGAGUAAGACCUGUCUUAAUAGGAGUUUUGUAGGAGUGUCAUGAACAUUAAAUUUGUUGCCACAUCAGUAAAACUGUUGAUUUGGCAAGGUCAUCACGAAGGGAAGUUAGUUUCAUCCCCAUGAUACUCAACUGGCAUGGUUACCAAGUUCUCGAUCUUAGUAACUGACCUAAAUGUUAUGUUAACAAGAGCCUAGUGCCGCCUAGGUGCUCGUGGGGUUUGGGAGGACGAGAGAGGGAUUUGGAUUUGAUUGGGGAAAUCAAAGGGCAUGUAUGUUAGGUUGUUUGCCUUUGCCUUUGGCCCUCCCUCCCAAGCAAUGCAUGCAUGGUUAACAAAUAUAAUGCCAGUACUUAAUUAUCAACUACUAAUAUACUAUAGGAGUGUAGUAAGAUUGAUCAUCGAUGCAUGGAUCAUGUUUGAAUAUUUGUUACAUACUACCAGGCCAUCAGUCUCGUAAGUAGUACUACGUUGAAUGCCGAUCGAGACUGACUCUGACUGGACCAGAAUACAACAACACACUCUCUCGAUCACUCCACUAGAGGACAUGCAUGCAUGAUGCAUUGGAACGCCUUCAUGCAUGUAUAUAAACAAUAAUGCUCCUGCGUGGCCGUGGUUGACCGGUAGGCUCCACGCCACUCAUCACGCCGCCGGCCCUAGCUCGGAUGACCAUGAACAUAUGCUAAGAAUAUGGUAUUCCAAAUGAACCUAGCCAUAUGGCAAUUGAAAAACAAAUGGUUUAUGCUUUCAUUUGCAUUGCAGAAACAACACUUAGGACUACCACGCCAAUGUCUCUUUGGCCAAAUUAUCUUUAGUUAGAAUCACACCUUUCUUCAAGUACCAAAGGAAAAUUUUAAUCUUUAGAGGAAAUCUUAUCUUCCAAAGAUCACUUUUUCUUGGUAAAGCAUCUUUGUGUAUCAAUGCGGAAUACAUCGAAUGAACAGAAAAGAUGCCAUUCUUGUGCAAACCCCACCUAAAGAUAUCUUCCUCCUCGCAUUCAAACUAACAGCUACCACCUUGGAAACUAGUUCGUAUACCAUGCUGCUAGCUUGUCUCCUACUAAAGCUCAUCGAAAAGAAAUAUUGAACUUAGCACACUUGCCACUGUUACAAACUUUUUCCUCACAAUUCUGUACAGCAUAGGAUAAGCUAACGCCAAUGGUUUAUUUGUCACCAAUCCAAAUCCAAAGGUCCUCCCAAAAUCUAACAUCAAUGGUGUAUGGUACUCCUACUUGAUACCAAUGCAAGAGAGGCUAGAGAGCAACAUGCAUGCCACAAGGUAAUAAUGAUUUGUCAACGUACACUGCCAAAAACAGAGCAACAUAAAAGUCUGUUUCUGUUUGCGUGCAUGUGUGAGUAGUAAUCGGAUACCGUGGAUAGUGUACCACUCCACUGUAUGUGUUUAUCCGAUCUGGAACAGCCAGCGCAGCUUGGGGGCACUCAGUCGUCUAGUACUGGACUAUGAUGCCGUCACGGCGCUAUGUUCCGUAUUCCGCCAACAUUUAGCCCCUUGCAUAACUUCCAAGUUUACUGUGGACCGAGUAUGCAUAUUCCAUUUGUAUAAUUGAACAGCAGUGCCAUACGAAGAACACAUGGAUGCAUGGUAGAAAUUUCAGCAGUAUAAUAAUGAUGAUAUGCAUGAUAUAGGUAGGCCUGCAUGGUGUGUAGGUGUAGGGCGGCUGAUGGCUCUUGACCGAAAACUUUGGGAGGUGCUUCUGCUUGCACUACAGUAGUCUACAGAUAGACGAGGAGCCAGAGUCACGCGCAAGCAGCAGCCUUUGCUGUUGGUGCAGCGAGUGAGAUAUGAUACUCACACUCUCAGAGCAGAGAAGAGAAUCAUGGAUGCAACAGAAUAGAGUAGAGUAGAGUAGAGCUGCUAGCUGGCCAUGCAUAAGGCUGCAAUUGCAAUGUAGUACUGGUAUCAUGCUGCAUCAUCCAUCAGUCUUCGAUUGCAUAUUUGCAUUGCACCACCAUGAUCGAUCCACGUCAAUCAGGAUCGAUCAGCUGCCUGCCUUGCAAAUUACAAGCAGUCAAGCAUUGUAUUCAUCCAUGACCCUUUCAAUGAAGCAUAUACGAUGCGUUUUUUUUUUUCAAACCAUGUAUAUGAAACCGAAUUGAGUUCGAGUUUGAAACAAGAGGCGACCUAGUAUCACCUUUUGACGGCCAAGUUGGAAAGACCCUCCUACCUUCCCCCUCUAUAAGACUAUAAGAGUAAGUAGUAGACUGUAAAGAAAGAAAGAAGGAAAGAAAGAUUAAAGUUGGCGCGCUUUUUGCCUUCCUUCCCCGAGCCAACACAAGAGGCCCAUGGCCAUGGGCGGGGCGAAUCACUCAUCAUGCUGUCAUUUCUGCAGCGGCUCGUUGUUUUUUGCCCGCCGCCUGCUCCGAUCGAUUGCCAACUCGAAAUCCAGAAAAUGUGUUGCAUGGACAGGAGGCAGCAUCCAUGGAUUGCCAUGGAGGAUGGAGCCCCCCUGCUCCUGCUCCUGCUCCUGCUCUUGCCCUGCAAAAGCCAUCGAGUGCCAUGCGAGUAAGUCUUGUCCCGUUUCAAACGUCUCCAAGAAAUGGAAUCAAUCCUCUGCUUUCUGAAUAUUUUGCCGCCGCAGAUCAUCGUCUCGUCGAUGAGAUGCCGCCAAGGCUAGCUUGUCGACCACCAUCAUCAUCGUCCUGCUAAGGGGGUGUUUGGAUACGAGGUGUUAAACUUUAACAGUGUCACAUCGGAUGUUCGGAUGCUAAUUAGGAGAACUAAACAUGAGGUAAUUAUAAAACUAAUUGCAGAACCCUGUGCUAAUUCGCGAGACGAAUCUAUUAAGCCUAAUUAAUCCAUCAUUAGCAAUUGGUUACUGUAGCACCAUAUUGUCAAAUCAUGGACUAAUUAGGCUUAAUAGAUUCGUCUCGUGAAUUACACUCCAUCUGUGCAAUUAGUUUUGUAAUUAACCUAUGUUUAAUACUCCUAAUUAGCAUCCAAACAUCCGAUGUGACAGGUGUUAAACUUUAACACUUGAUUGCCAAACACGCCCUAAAAUUGCACCCGAAUAGCGGAAUAGGAGGAGGUCCAAUCAAUCUCGACGUACAGCUUUCUCAAUCAGUCCGGACAAGAAAAUGACAAAAUGUAAUCUGAUAUAACAUUAGAGUAAAAUUUGCAAAAAUAUAUACGGAUAAACUAAACUACACAACAGUAAACCACAUGUUUAAGGUGUUCAACAAGGUUGUAAAUAAAUAGCAUUGGUGGCGACAAAGAGCCAAGACAAACGAAAAAACAGAGCUGUAGGUAGUAGCUGUAGCAGCGGCUAUUCUUCGUAGCAUUUUUUAAUAUUAAAAUACCUAAAAGCAACAAAUAUAUGCACAAGAAGAGCCAAGAUAGAAAAAAAAAUUACUUUAGAACCACUAAUCCCUUUCUUCCCUUCCAUAUCGGGAGGCUCUCGAUUUAAGCUAGAUCGAUCGAGAGCUCUCUCGUUUUAGUUUUUUUCGAAAGAAAAAAUGCCAGGAAAAAUGACAAGUAACAAAUUGGUACGAGGAAAUAACAAAAUCGAGUCACCAACUCCGGCGACGACUCCCACUCUGGCGAGCUCCGAUUCGGGUUAGGGUUUGGGGAUUAGGGUUAGGGUUUCAGGGUUUGGGGUUGGGGAGGGGAUAAUUUGUGCCUACGGGGUUAGAGGGAUGGCUAGGGAGGCGGCCGGCCCGGCGGAGCUGGUGGGGUGUGGGCGGUGGUGGCGCCGCCGGCCGGGUGGUGGAGAACAUCCGAUGGCCUGUGUAUGCGACGGGGGUGAGGAAGAGGAGUGGUUAGGAUGGGCGGGGGAGAGGGUGGGGUAGG